UUUUAUGAGAGUUUGAUCCUGGCUCAGGACGAACGCUGGCGGCGUGCCUAAUACAUGCAAGUCGAACGCUUCUUUUUCCACCGGAGCUUGCUCCACCGGAAAAAGAAGAGUGGCGAACGGGUGAGUAACACGUGGGUAACCUGCCCAUCAGAAGGGGAUAACACUUGGAAACAGGUGCUAAUACCGUAUAACAAAC
RNAcentral lists this ribosomal RNA (196 nucleotides) under Enterococcus faecium. RNAcentral's name for it is "partial 16S ribosomal RNA". It matches the Rfam family "Bacterial small subunit ribosomal RNA", at positions 1 to 181 of the family's 1533-position model. The record is from RNAcentral. Lineage: Bacteria; Bacillati; Bacillota; Bacilli; Lactobacillales; Enterococcaceae.